GUGAGGAAUAUUGGUCAAUGGGCGCAAGCCUGAACCAGCCAUGCCGCGUGCAGGAAGACGGUCCUAUGGAUUGUAAACUGCUUUUAUUUGGGAAUAAACUCCGGUACGUGUACCGGCCUGAAGGUACCAAAGGAAUAAGCACCGGCUAACUCCGUGCCAGCAGCCGCGGUAAUACGGAGGGUGCAAGCGUUAUCCGGAAUCAUUGGGUUUAAAGGGUCCGCAGGCGGUCUUAUAAGUCAGUGGUGAAAGCCUACAGCUCAACUGUAGAACUGCCAUUGAUACUGUAGGACUUGAAUUCGAUCGAAGUGGGCGGAAUGUGACAUGUAGCGGUGAAAUGCUUAGAUAUGUCACAGAACACCGAUAGCGAAGGCAGCUCACUAGGUCUGGAUUGACGCUCAGGGACGAAAGCGUGGGGAGCAAACAGGAUUAGAAACCCCGGUAGUCC
RNAcentral lists this ribosomal RNA (445 nucleotides) under uncultured bacterium. RNAcentral describes it as "partial 16S ribosomal RNA". It matches the Rfam family "Bacterial small subunit ribosomal RNA", at positions 354 to 796 of the family's 1533-position model. The record is from RNAcentral.